Molecule: long non-coding RNA, 775 nt
Filed under: Marmota monax (woodchuck)
Lineage: Eukaryota; Metazoa; Chordata; Mammalia; Rodentia; Sciuridae
Source: RNAcentral
AAUAUUUGAGUGGAGAAAACAUCUACUCAUUGACAUACUUACCUAGAGAAGAUAAUACUUAUAAAGAGGUCAGCAAGUUCUUAACACAAAGUAACUAACAUAAAUUGGGAAGAAGAUUCUGAGAUAGAGAUUUCCUAGGGGAUGCUCUCAAGAAUGACAUAUAGAAGGAGUGUGACGUCAGGAAUAGCAGAAGAAGCAACCGAGCUGGGAUAUAGCUGCAACAGAGGCCUAAGGGAUUCUGGGACCCCACAGUUUUAUGAAUUGAGACAAAAUUCCUGGGUCUUUGCUAUCUUACUGGAAAUGCCCAUCUGUUGUGGUAGUUCCUUGGGGAGGACCACACAACUUGGGUAAAUUGAGUAAGAUGGCUUCUAAAGGUGACAGCAAUUGCUGUGAAUGAACUCAGCUGUUAACCUGUAGCAAGCUCUGAUCCUGGAAGAUGAAAGUGUCUCCAUCCUGAGACUUGAUCUGGCAGCACAUGCCAUCAUCCCUUCCUGUAAGUACUUUAUAGAUCCUAAGAGGUAUCAUUAUUAUGGUUCAUUAUCUAUUGAUUUGUUUCAUUAGAAUGACCAACAGACAUUUUGAGUCACUGUAGCACAGGAAACACAAUCAUCUCCUUGUAGAAUGAUAAAUGACCUCAUCCAGUCUUGGAUAUUUUGAACUAUAAUGUUUGCCUACAUAUUUUCUAAUCUAUCAAAACCUCUUGCAAAAUGGUACAACCUGACCUGGGUGUUCUGGGUCAUCACUUUUUUUGUUAUCAUUGUUCUGGGCACGGUGC